GAUGAACGCUGGCGGCGUGCCUAAUACAUGCAAGUCGAGCGAACGGACGAGAAGCUUGCUUCUCUGAUGUUAGCGGCGGACGGGUGAGUAACACGUGGAUAACCUACCUAUAAGACUGGGAUAACUUCGGGAAACCGGAGCUAAUACCGGAUAAUAUUUUGAACCGCAUGGUUCAAAAGUGAAAGACGGUCUUGCUGUCACUUAUAGAUGGAUCCGCGCUGCAUUAGCUAGUUGGUAAGGUAACGGCUUACCAAGGCAACGAUGCAUAGCCGACCUGAGAGGGUGAUCGGCCACACUGGAACUGAGACACGGUCCAGACUCCUACGGGAGGCAGCAGUAGGGAAUCUUCCGCAAUGGGCGAAAGCCUGACGGAGCAACGCCGCGUGAGUGAUGAAGGUCUUCGGAUCGUAAAACUCUGUUAUUAGGGAAGAACAUAUGUGUAAGUAACUGUGCACAUCUUGACGGUACCUAAUCAGAAAGCCACGGCUAACUACGUGCCAGCAGCCGCGGUAAUACGUAGGUGGCAAGCGUUAUCCGGAAUUAUUGGGCGUAAAGCGCGCGUAGGCGGUUUUUUAAGUCUGAUGUGAAAGCCCACGGCUCAACCGUGGAGGGUCAUUGGAAACUGGAAAACUUGAGUGCAGAAGAGGAAAGUGGAAUUCCAUGUGUAGCGGUGAAAUGCGUAGAGAUAUGGAGGAACACCAGUGGCGAAGGCGACUUUCUGGUCUGUAACUGACGCUGAUGUGCGAAAGCGUGGGGAUCAAACAGGAUUAGAUACCCUGGUAGUCCACGCCGUAAACGAUGAGUGCUAAGUGUUAGGGGGUUUCCGCCCCUUAGUGCUGCAGCUAACGCAUUAAGCACUCCGCCUGGGGAGUACGACCGCAAGGUUGAAACUCAAAGGAAUUGACGGGGACCCGCACAAGCGGUGGAGCAUGUGGUUUAAUUCGAAGCAACGCGAAGAACCUUACCAAAUCUUGACAUCCUUUGACAACUCUAGAGAUAGAGCUUUCCCCUUCGGGGGACAAAGUGACAGGUGGUGCAUGGUUGUCGUCAGCUCGUGUCGUGAGAUGUUGGGUUAAGUCCAGCAACGAGCGCAACCCUUAAGCUUAGUUGCCAUCAUUAAGUUGGGCACUCUAAGUUGACUGCCGGUGACAAACCGGAGGAAGGUGGGGAUGACGUCAAAUCAUCAUGCCCCUUAUGAUUUGGGCUACACACGUGCUACAAUGGACAAUACAAAGGGCAGCGAAACCGCGAGGUCAAGCAAAUCCCAUAAAGUUGUUCUCAGUUCGGAUUGUAGUCUGCAACUCGACUACAUGAAGCUGGAAUCGCUAGUAAUCGUAGAUCAGCAUGCUACGGUGAAUACGUUUCCGGGUCU
This 1372-nucleotide ribosomal RNA is filed under the name uncultured bacterium. RNAcentral describes it as "bacterial SSU rRNA". It matches the Rfam family "Bacterial small subunit ribosomal RNA", at positions 28 to 1381 of the family's 1533-position model. The record is from RNAcentral.